This is an RNA transcript of Daphnia carinata, 1454 nucleotides long. It is a transcript of the gene named probable ATP-dependent RNA helicase DDX4, with no coding region annotated. The transcript has 7 exons. NCBI's taxonomy places the organism in Eukaryota, Metazoa, Arthropoda, Branchiopoda, Diplostraca, Daphniidae. The record is from RefSeq and is a predicted model, not a curated record.
CGUGGCUCAUCGGGCAGUUUUUUUUUUCAGGCAUAUUUCUAGAUUGGCUCAACGCGUGCAGUCUGCUGUCUACCUUCCUCGCUAGAUUUUACUUCUUGACCUCGCGGCUUUGGCGAUUUUUUUCUGGACUGGGUCACAAGUGUGGAGAAGGACAUUUUGCAAGAGAGUGUCCACAAGCUGGUGGGGACGGUGGUAGUGAUCCGUUGACAUCGUAAAUAUGGGGAAGGGGGACAUUUCUCGAAGGAUUGUCCACAUGAGGGCCGCGACGAUGGUGGAAGUCGUACUUGUCAUUAUGUUCCAGUGUUCAUUGUUUUACCCCUAGUGUCAUGAACCUGGCCACACCUCGAAAGGCUGCUGGAAUCCAUUCAGUGAAUUGACGGAAAAUGGAAAGCCACAUGAGCAAUACAUUCUGGAAGUUGUGCAUAUGAUGAAAAGGAAUUGGUUAAGGGCAUCGUCUGUGGGGAACGCUUUAACAAUUUUGAUAGUCAUCCUCCAGGUUACAGGAAAAGAUGUACCACAAUACAUAACACAUUCAAAGAAGCCGUCCUGCGCCAAUUACUACUUCAAAACAUUAAAAAUUCUGGCUACAUAAAACCAACACCUGUUCAGAAAGCUUCAGUUGCAGUUGUUCUUGCCAAAAGAGAUUUCAUUGCUUGUGCUGUCAGGGGCUCCGGCAAAACGGCGUCGUACUCGGUACCGGAUUUGAACAUAUUGUUAGAACAAGGGGUUGCUGGUGCGUCUCAUGCCAUGGGCAAAAGCCAGAAGUUGUAAUUGUCGCACCCACUCGUGAAUUGGCCAUUCAAAUUCAUCGCGAGACGUGUAAAUUCUCCUACAGUUCGGUUUUAAAAUCUGUGAUUAUAUAUGGAGGAACUGUGACGAGCCAUCAGCGGUCAAAUCUUAAAGCUGUGUGCAAUAUUCUUGUCGCGACCGCGGGCGAUUCAACGGUUUUCUCGACCGUGGAGUAUUUGACUUAUCGGGGGUCAGGUUUUAAAUUUUGGACGAAGCUGAUCGAAUGCUUGAUAUGGGUUUCGGCCCCAAUGUUGAAAAAAUUAUCAACUAUCCAACGAUGCAUCCGAAAGGAAUCCGUCGUGUUUGUAUGUUUUCGGAUGCAUUCCCAGAUGAAGUGCAAGAGCUGGCUGCGACGUACAUGGAAGACUACAUAUUCGUCACAACAGGCAUAGUCGAUGGCACCAAUCCGGGUGUUGAGCAGCUGUUUUUUCAGUGCUCGAAAAGAGAUAAGAGAGCUAAGCUGAUCGAAGUUUUACAAGAUCUCGGUUGUGCCAAGACUAUCCUUUUUGUCAACAGCAAAAAGACCGCGGAUUUCGUCGCUGCAUUCUCGUACAAUAACAACUUACAAUCUACCAGCAUCCAUGGUGAGUGUAAACGAAAAUCGUAAAUGUCUCUUCUGAAGCUUCUGACAGAAGAAUAUGCUCGCAAUCAACUCACGAAUCAUG